AUUUGAGCAAAAGUUAUCGCGGUAAAAUUUCCCUUGAUUUUUCCUUUUACGGUUUUCCCCCAAAUCUUUCUCCCUCAUAUUUUCACACGACCUUUAGCUUUUAAAAAAAAUUAAAAGUCGACCCUUAAUUUUCCUAUUAGAUUCAGCUUUACGGUCGCCGGCGAAGCUUCGAGUUAGGUCUGAAUUGCCGUCACCAAAAUCAGAAUUAGGGUUUCAAAUUGCAAGCAAUCCUCCAAAGUUUCAAUUGUUUGUAUAUAGUUGUAGUUCUUAUUAGGUACAUUCAAAGUCGCAGUUAUGCUGCGGUCAUGCAACCUGCAACAUUAGUCUUUGCAUUCAUAUUUGUACAAAGGUAAGUAAGAAAUCAACCAUCUUGUAUAUGAUUAUGUAUUUGUUUCUUGUUCAAGAUAUAUUCGUGUAUAUUCAUGUACUCAAUUGGUGAGAAGAAAGGUAGCAAAGCAGAUCAAGAAAUUCUGAAAUUGCUUGUAUCUAAUUGAAUUAGUAACACCUAGAAUGAGAACCAUGAUUUCCAUCAAUAUGAUACUGUCUCUAUCAAGUCUGUAGCAGUGAGUUUAAAACUUCUAUAGUUUAUAAUUAUUUUGGGGAAUCCAAAAAUUGUUAUUAAGAAUUAGGUAUUAGAAAAUAACAAGACAAUAAUAUGUGCAUUGGAUGAGACUGCUCUGCAUUUAGAGUAAUAUAUCAUUUUAGGUGUUUGGAUGGAGUUCAACUAAGUAAUAUAAGCAAACCGGUUCACUAAUCUCUAAAGAUGAUGAAUAUCCACAUAACCUAUAGUUAUCGGGAAACUUUACUGAAAAAUAUGAACAUAAUUAUCAAAAGGGAUGCUAAACUCUUUACUUGUUGAUUACUGCUUUAAAAGAAAGUUCCAGUUAGAGGUCUCCGCUUUGAGCAACUGGAAAAAACAUUCUGAAAUACUGAGUAUUUGGAAUGACUCAUGUGAAGUAAAAGAAAGAUAUUGUUCUUACUUCUUAUACUAGUAUUUGGGGUACGUAAAAUGAAGCCAAUAAUUAAUUGUAUGUAUUCAGUGGUAUUCGAAAAUAUUGUACUUUAAAUUUGCAGCAAAAAGAUCGAACACAAGAAGGAGAAUUGUAAGCGGCCAAUGGUAAAUUGAAGGAACAAGAUCAUUGUUGCUAGUCGGCCAAUUGAUAACAAAGGGACAUGGAAAGCGGAAGAAGAUGAACUGUUGAAAGCAUGUGAAAAAUUAAAAGACAAAUUACACUUCCUCGCCCUUGAGAUUGGUGGUGUUGGCAUAGUUUCAGCCCAUGUCUCUUAUUCUCCUAAAAUUGCAGCAAGGAUGAACAUGUAUAGUUCAACUCUGCUGCAACACAAGUAUUAUUGGAAGAGGAUUUUCUUAAAUUACUAGAAGAAUUAGAAUAUAAUGACCUUGCUUAUAUUUUUUUUUACAAGUAAAGGCAUAUGUAGUAAGUAUCUAGUGCAUCAAUCUUAUUUAUUGAUCUUUGCAUAUUUAUAUGGCUUUAAAUCCAAAUAUUUAUGUAUUUUUCGAAAAGAAUUAUGUAUUGUCUAUG
This is a long non-coding RNA of Solanum tuberosum (potato), 1541 nucleotides long. RefSeq lists it as uncharacterized. The record is from RefSeq and is a predicted model, not a curated record. NCBI's taxonomy places the organism in Eukaryota, Viridiplantae, Streptophyta, Magnoliopsida, Solanales, Solanaceae. The transcript is spliced from 3 exons.